GUCUGUGUGGGACAGCUGGAGCUUCUGUGUUUCUCCCUCAGCUGCGGAACUGGAGCGGAGCGGCUUGUUACCUGCAGCCUUCAGAUGAAUAAUACGACCCAGAGACCCCGGCUUUAACAUCCCUCAGCAACCACAGGUCGGGCGCGCCGACCAGCAGCCGACCAGUACGAGACUGAGUCUGCGACUCACCUGCAUGGCGAU
Plectropomus leopardus (leopard coralgrouper) is the source of this 201-nucleotide non-coding RNA. NCBI's taxonomy places the organism in Eukaryota, Metazoa, Chordata, Actinopteri, Perciformes, Serranidae. The record is from RefSeq and is a predicted model, not a curated record.